Molecule: long non-coding RNA, 860 nt
Organism: Lactuca sativa (garden lettuce)
Lineage: Eukaryota; Viridiplantae; Streptophyta; Magnoliopsida; Asterales; Asteraceae
Source: RefSeq, a predicted model, not a curated record
UGUGCCCGUUUCCAUUUGUUGAUCGGGCAAUGGGAAAAGGGAAUACGAACAGACAGACGAAUCAGAUGAACGAAGGCAACGAAUACAGAGAGGGAAAAGGGAGUUCGAACGAUCGCAUUUGUUUGAUCGAUUUCGGGAAAGAGGUCGUCUCCGGGGGUCGACGAGGCCGAAGUAACGAAGGGUCCGAUGGAGUGUCGCGAGCAGCAGCAGCGAAGAAGUUGAGACCUUCGGAGGUCUGUGGUCGAUGGGAACAGAAGAGAAGGAAAGUGAGGGGAAAGGGGUGAUUCGGUGACGUUUGCGAAGGGAAGAAGAACAGAGGGUUGCGAGAUCGAGUUGGAGAUGAAGAGAUCCGAAGGAGCUGCCUUGCUCAAGACGAAAUCUACAAAGGAGUGGAAUGGAAGGUCGAUCCGGGGGAGCAAACAACGAAGGUUGAAGGUGGCGAUGGUGGGAGGCUGUUGUGAAGUCGAUGGAGGGUUUCUCCGGCGGUUGUAGGACAAAGGAAAGAAUGAGAGGCUGAUACCUCUUGUUAUUCACCGGAAAACAGAAGUUAUCACACCUCCGGUGUGUCAUGGGCAACCGAUCAAGAAGAAAAAGAAAACGUGGGAAGGAGGAAAGGUAAGAUAGUGGGACAACACAUCAUUAGAGGGGGGUGUUUGGCUGUAAAUGGAGGAGUGUUUUCCGUUAUGGUUAAGUCUACACUCCAAAGAAAUGUCCCAUGCUUGCCUUGAGGUGAUGGGGAGAAAUGGUCGAGUGUGGUUUUUAUGAUCAAAUGCACAUUUUUGUAGGUGAAUUUGGUGAUGAAUUGUGUACAAUAAUAAAUCUUGGAAUGAUCUUGUAUAGGACAUUACAUUAUUUGUUUA